ACAAUGAUACUUCCGUCCAGUCAUAGAAACAAGCAAUGAGGGCGGCUUCGGGAGAACCUCGGAGGGAUGAGAUUUUCAUGA
The submitters of this non-coding RNA (81 nucleotides) gave its source as unclassified sequences. The record is from Rfam.